This 17103-nucleotide long non-coding RNA is filed under the name Brachypodium distachyon (stiff brome). RNAcentral's name for it is "long non-coding RNA (BDIS_LNC003385)". Lineage: Eukaryota; Viridiplantae; Streptophyta; Magnoliopsida; Poales; Poaceae. The record is from RNAcentral.
CCCAUUUAGAUUGACUAGGCUGCCAGUUGUCUAGCUCGAUUGUAGCAUACCACUUUCAUGCAUGCUGAAAUUGGGCGUUACUUUUGGUUAAAAUUAGUAGAAAAAAACUUCUAUCCAAAAAUAAUUUAGGCUUGGCUAGAAAUUAUUAUUUUUUGCUUGCUUUGAUUGACUAGUAGUCUAGUUUUGCUUGCUUUGAUUAAUUAUCUAUGUGCUAGCCGCAAGGUACUCUAGUUUCUGGCUAGAUCUGUGUGCUUGUUUGCAAUUAACUUGGUUAAUCCCUUCAUUAAUGGGCCCUUUCCUAAUUCAGCCCACAUCUCCACCGAAGCCCAGUUGAAGUCUCACGUAUAUGUCCUUGUAUUCACCUGGCCGUCAAUUCCUUAUACCUAGCCACACGAUCCUCCUUCCCAUUUGCUUGGAAACCAACCACUUCCCAUACCCAGCCGUAGCCAGGAAGAGGAGGAGCCUCUGGAGUUCGCCUUGGCCGUGGAGAGUAGCCGGAGUCCCUGGAGAUUGCUUUGGUUGUGGAGGAGAAGAGCAGCGACGCCAGCAGAAAGGAGGAGGAGAACAGUAGGCGUGUACACCCAUCUACAGCAGCAAGUGAAUCCCAAGCAGGUCGCCCAGAUCAUCCUUUGAUCUAGGUAUCCAUCACUUCGUUUGGUCCAUGUUAAUUCGUUUCCACAUGUGAAUUCUCAUCAGCUGAUCAGGAGCUCUGUUAGAUCAAUCAACUUGUGGUAAGGAUCACGUAGUGUGCUGGUUCCAGCCGCAUGAUAGAUGCGCCAUGGUUGCUACAAUUUUUGUCCCACUCGAUUGAGAGAUAUAGAUGAUUACAAGUGCAGUCCAGCCUAAUUUUUGUCUACCCCUACACCUGAUUAAUCUACCACUUGGAAAAUUUGAUCCAUGUCUUGCAGCCACAUGAAAAUGUACAUGUGUAGCUUAUCUCCUGAAGAUUAGUUUUGGCUGAUUCCUAAUCCCAUGCAAGAGUAAUCACUUUUGAUGGUUUCAUUCCUGUUUUUAUGUGUACUUGCAGAUCAUAAUCACUAGAACGCGGAGGAACUUAAAUCAUUUUUUUUCUAACGUGUGGAUUGUUUACAGUCACUGCCUAACAAUGCGUUUUUGUAUUAUGAUCGUGUUUCUAUUAGAGAUCUCAAGCUUUAAACUUUUCUGAACAUUGCCAAACGUCCAGGUUGAUGUAAAAAUGAUAUUACACUAAGUAACUAGCAUUUUUGCUAGGUUUCCAUAACACCUGAAAUAAUAUUCUUGUGCUAUAAACUGUUGUAUUGCUGCAGUAGCUAAUUUCACCAAAUUAGUAGAAUUGUUUCCUGUGUAGCGCUGUAUGUAUUGCCUUGUGAUGAUUCCAAUGUGUGCUGAUUGUGAGGAAUACUUUGUACCUGCUAGGAAUCGGUUGUUGCCAUCUUAUUUGGUUUCAUUUGGAGUUUCUGUUAGCUCAUCUUGCGCCUGUCAUUUAUAACGUAUACGCGAGGACGUUGCUUAUGAGUUUGCAGGACCAGAAGUUGGAGAAAAAGUGCAAGGUGCCACCACAUUUCUUUCACUUAUAUUUUCGCAAAUAUCACUGCUUUCCAAAACUGCAUGAGUCCUUUUUAAUUGGUAUAUUAUAGCCUAUCAUCGGAUACGAUGCCAGUACUAGAACAUACCCUGUAGCGAAACCUCUGAAAUUGACUUAGUAAUUACAUGCUUAGCCAUGCUUAGAAUAGUUCAUUAAUUUCUUUGCGUGAGUAUCUCUUGGUGACUGUUGGUCAUCGAGGGAGGGUGUUAAUCACUUAAUGAAACAUUGGUAAUUACUAAGAUGAGACUGGCCGGCUUGUGUGAUAGUGCCAGUGGUGAAUGAAUUGUUGGAGAGGUGUUUUGCUAUUUUCAACUAAGGGUAUGGUGGGCAUCGGUCGGUGAUGGUGGAGGGACCGAAAUGUCCUGGGGCUUGUGCUAGUGCCAACUGUAUCUUAUAAGGGAAAUGUCCAAUUUUCGCAUACUUCAUUUAACCUGUACAACCACAUGCUUAUAUGGGUACGGCGUACCAACUAGGUUAGCGUGAAUUGGUGGCAUCUCAGCCAAGUGGUGGUUUGGGUCUCGCGAUUCGAGACUCAGGAAUUAGCUACUCCUGGCAGUUGUUGGCGCAAGAGGGGCUUGGAGCAGGUGCGAUCACACCUCCGACUGGGAAACCUUAGCGGGCUGAGACAAUACCAUGAAACGUUAAUUGAAAGGUCACGUAAUCGACGUCAUUGCUACUCUUGCCGGAGGACAGCAAUGGGGUAACACGUCGGUUUCUUGUGGGUCCAGUGUACAACCUCCGAAGAGUGUAAAACUAUUCGAAUAGCCGUGUCCGCGGUUAAUGGAUGGGUGAAGUUGCAUCUUGGGUUAUCUACCUGUUUUUAUUUGACACGUGUGUGCGUGCGCGCGUGUGCGCGCGUGUGUGUGUGAGUUGUGGUGUUGGAGGUCACGAAUCAAAGAGGAUUCCGCUGCAUAACCGGUGUCGCCGCUGAGCGUCAUUGGUCAGUUUAUUCAAUAAACUUGUUUGUAAAAUGUGUACAAAUGUCUUCUCAAAUUAAUCUAAAAUUUGACUUAGACAUAGAGAUGUUAUUUUCUGCAAAUUAAACUUAGCUCCACCAUACAGCCUCAUAUAGAGUCUUGCAUAAACAUUAAGGGUAGUGUAGGGUGACAUAACUGAGUACCAUGAGUGUACUCAUGGCGGCUAUUCUGUAAUGUAUUGAUUCAGAGGGAGGAGACUAGAACAGCGAGUAUGACGAGGAGGAUUAGGGACGAUGUUGCUGGAUUUACUUCAACAUUUGCUUGUGGAGUUGGCGCCACAUGAUUUAUCUUCCGCUGCUAUUUCUCAGACUUUGACACAUUGUUUACAAGUUAUUACUUUCAGAUUCUGUAAUCAAGUACAAUGUUAAGUACUAUCAUUUUGAUUAAUCUCGUGAGCUCUGUUAUACACUUGUAAUUGCUCUUGUAUGCUACUGAUCCUUGGGACAUACAUGAGUUGAGUGGAUUCUGGCCCGUGGUGGCUGGGGUUCUUACAUCGAUACUAAUAUUUGGCAAGGUCCAUCAUGCACGUAGUGGUGGUAGAGUGGUGAAUGAACAGAUAUCAACUGUAAAUUAAUAGUUAGCUCGCUACUAAUCUUAGACCAGGCCCAUUAAUUAUGCACAUAAUUGUGACAGUUAGUAGUGGAUGAAGGGACACUAACUAAAAUUUAAUUUAAUACUCCCUCCGGCCGGAAUUACUUGUCGUAGAUUUAGUACAAAGUGUGAUGAAUGAACUGCGAUCUCCUACGAUCUCCUAUUAAUUAAUCGGUAUCUCGCUACUAAUUUUAAGUUGGGGCCCUUAAUUCUGCACAUAGUGGUGAUAGGGAGUAGUGGACGAACAAACACCGGCUGUCAAUUAAUAGGUACUCCCUCCGUUCCAUGAACAUUGGCACAGUUUUGAACUAGAACUAGUUCAAAGCCGUGCCAAUCUUUAUGGAUGGAGGGUGUAGUAUGUAGAUAUAGAUAUAGAUUAGUUCACAUGCUUUGACUCGUUGUUGUAGUAAUCAUGAGAUCCAUUUCAUUAUUAUAAGCAAAGCGGAUACAGAUUAUCUCAAUACAACAUUUUGAUUAAGUUUCAAUUAUUCUGUAACAGGAUCUUAAAGAGAACGUCCGGAACACCGCUGAUUCUGGACAGUCGGCCUAGCCAAUAUGUCAGUGAUCCAAGCCUUCAAGCAGUGAAGCAUGUGGGGUGGCCAACAAGUAGUGCGCAAUUGGAAAAUGGCUCAGAUCAGCUAGGCUGAAGAAAUCCCCAGCUAAGUACUUGAACUUAGCUAGGCGAGCUUCAUACACUUCAAAUGUUAUCUUCAGUUUCUUCACAUUUUCUUCUACAACCUUGUCAUCAGUUUCUCCACCAAGAUAAACGGGGAGUAUGAGGCAUUGGUGGAUGAUCACAUCCAUGGUCCCUGGGCCUGUAAAAUAGGUGGGAUUCGACCUCUAGCCACAUAUCAACCAUGACCGAGUCAGAAAAGUUAUCCUCCUUCACAAGUUCAGAGUGGUUCUUGCGAAAAAUUUACUUUGAAAUUGCACGUGAUUCUAUCAUUGUAGUUAAGAUACACAUGGAUGAAUACUAAUGGAAAAGAACUAAAAAAUGAUUACACAAUGGGAAAGCAAAAGGGGUUAUCUCAAUUUAUUGAAACCAUGGGGACGAGGCUGCCUUUAGGUUUAGCAAUUUAUGACAUUUUUUCUGGAGUUUAUUAGUUGAUGAGUAGUGUUAAAUCAACCACUCCGUUCGUGAGUGUUUCUCUGCAUUCUACAAUUGAUGUGACCAUAAACUUUAUACUCUAGUCGACAAAGAUAGUUCCCGAAAUGUUGCAUCUGGUGACAGGGGAGGCGAUUCGGGUCGACUGGGGUAGAUCCGCCGAAGCUCUCCGGGAACCUGCGGCAGGGGGGUCCCUGCCUUUCCCCAGGCGGGAGCAUGGAGGAGGUGGGGAUCGUCGGAGCUUGUGCCCCGGCGAGCCGGAGACCGGCCUCCUUGAAAGUGAGCGGUGGCGGGCUCUGAAGGGGAAAGUUCGGGCAGCGAUUGAAGCGGGGUGGAGCCUGCCGACAGGAGCGUCGGUGGGCAAGAGGCAAGGCGGCGAGGAUCUCCUGCCGGAAGUGCAAGAGAUGCGGUCACGCCUGCUCGACAUCUUUCGCAAGGGAAGCGCUGCAAGGGCUCCUACCCAUCAGGUAUCUCUCGCCCCACCCACCGCUCUACCUGUUCCUGCUCCGGGUAGUCUUGUGUCGGUCGUGAGCGAGCUCGGUGCCGCAGCCGCUGAUGAAAUCCAGGGACAAUCCCCUCUAUCCGUACUGGGUUCGUUCAUGUGUGAGCCGGAGAAAGGCCACGAUGGGAAACAUAUUGGGAGGCAAAUGCCUGCGGAGGGGAGCAUCCCCGCGCUUGUGCGUGAGAUCCAGAUAGUCAAUUUUGUCGGUUUAAAGUUCAGAUUGCGUGCCGCCCACCAAGGCCGGCCAUGGUGGACGAGGAACUGCAGUGGGCUGCUGCUCGUCUGGUUUCAGAGAUGGGUUGAUGCGCAGGACAGAUGGAAUUUCCUGGGAGACCACAGAUUCAGGCCGGGAGGACAAGGGGAAGGAGAAGACACAGGCGGAUUAAUCGACAGUAAUUCAGGGGGAAAGAUCCCGAGGGGGGAUUCGGAAGAGUUGGCCAGCGCUGAUUGGGGAUUUGCUCCAUCGGAUCUGAUCUCCAGGCAUCCAUUUCGGGCGCCUAACAUCCAUGAGCGUUGCCUGAGGAGCAAAUUGUGUGCCUUUCCUUCGGACGUUUUUAUGGAUCCCCUGUCCCCCAGAUGGAGGCGCAAUCUCUGCGAUUGCCGGGCGAUCGCCGCCAGGAACUUUCCUUUAGCAGUGGUUUGUGGGGAGCUGGCUAUUUAAUCACGGUCGAUGGACUGCAAUUUGGUACCCCCCCCCCCCCACGCCCCCACGAGCACUACUACAAUUCCACGGCCACCAUGAAUGAAAGCCAGGGCAGUGCCGCGGACUUGCCACUGUCCGAGUUCCGCCGCCGUCCUGACAAAGCCCCAAUGAAGGACACAAGAGGGAAAGAAGGGCGCCAAGGAUGCAGGUGCGGGCACAUCCAAAGCCAGAGGGCUGCCUGGUUGGGAGCCGCCGGGGGAAGUGAAGAAGGUCCUGGUGGUGGACAUGGAUGAACUGCAGAAGGAGAUGCCGAGCCAGUGGCUGAUCGUCGGAAAGUACUAAACCACCCACACCUUCAGUUCCACUGGUCUGUUUAACCACAUGCAUCACGUGUGGCAGCUGAGGGGGGGGGGGAUGGAAUACAAAGAGAUGGCGGAUAGCCGCUUUCUGAUCAUCCUGGAUGAAGAAGGCGACUUACACCACAUUCUGGUGGUGGCAGCGUAUGACGGGCACAGCACCGUAGGGGAGAUGAAGCUUGACAUUCUCUCGAUCUGGAUCAGGAUCUUUGGCGUGCCGGUCCCUAUGAUGAAUGAGAGGGUGGGAAGAGAACUAGGAGGGCUUGUGGGCAAAGUCCGGAAUGUGCAUGCUGAUAAUAGAGGGAAGAUCUGGGAUAACUUCAUCCGUGUCCGGAUUGAGCACGUGAUGACUGAGCCGCUGAAGAGAUGCAGCUACAUUGAAGAAAAGGGCAAGGGAGAGAAGGACAAGGACAGGAUGCGCACCUGCCAGGUUAAAUAUGAGAAGGUGCCGAGGUUUUGUUUCUACUGUGGCAGGAUCGGCCACGAUGCAAAGUCAUGCCUCAUGCUAGAAGAGCUAAAGGCAGUCAGAUUCUGCACCGAACAGCGUGCAUCCCCAUACAGGCAGUUCGAGCACAGGAGCAAAGAAGCACCUGAGAUUUGGGGCGCCGUCGUCGCUCACGUGGAAGCCUACCAUGCAAGGUCAUGCCAUCGUGGAUUCUAAGGAUCGCACGGUCACAGACCCGGUGACUGCUGCAGUCAGGGAAGUCACGCAGGCAGUGACCAAGCUGCAGAUCACUGAAGAGGGAGAGAAAGGAAAGACAGAGAUGCAAAAGGCUGAACAGGAUGCAAUGAAGGCGAAGAAGAAGACCGUUGCUCGUCGGGCAAGGUUGGUUGCGAAGAGGGAUCGCGAAACAGCUGGAAAUUUUGUAAAAGCGAAGGACCAGAUCCUGGGGAAGAGAGGGUUGAUGGAACCCACAGAGGAAGAGGAGGACAAAGAGGGAGGAGUUGACAUGCAAAAGAAGGCGAAGGCAUCGGUGGCUGAGGAAGAAACAAGUAAGCCGGAAGAGGAGAAGGACAAGCAGAAGGAGGCAACCAGCCCUGGGGCCGCUGGUCACCUGAUAGGCGUGGAUGAGCACGCCUAUCAGAAGCCAUGACGAUCCUAAGCUGGAACUGCCGGGGGAUUGGCCAACCCCGGACAGUUCAAGAGCUCGUUAGGCUUGUGCACGCUCAUCGCCCGAAGAUUGUUUUCUUGUGUGAGACCAGGCAGCUGCAGGGGGUAGUGGAGAAGCUUAGGUGGAGGCUGGGCCUCAAGAAGGUAGUGUCCUUCGAGGGAGAUGGAAAAGGUGGGGGACUAGCCAUGCUCUGGGAAGAAGGGGCAGAGGUUGAACUUCUUAAAAAAAAUAGCCGGUUCAUUGAUGUUUACAUUCACAAUUUCCCAAUUAGAAUAAAAUGGAGGUGCACUUUUGUGUAUGGUGAGCCGAGUUCACAGUUGAGGCACCUUAUGUGGGACCUGGUUCGCCGAAUCAGACCGAUGGCUGCUGGCCCUUGGCUGAUGGCCGGAGAUUUUAAUGAAGUCAUGUGGCAGGGUGAACAUAUCUCGGCGAGACGUAGAAAUGAGGGUCAAAUGGCUGCUUUCCGAAAUGUGCUUUCGGAGUGUGAUUUGCACGACUUAGGGUACUCGGGCCAUCCGUGGACCUUUGACAACAAACAGAUGGGACACAAGAAUGUUAGGGUCAGGCUGGACAGAGCAGUCGCCACCCCUGAUUGGUCUACUGGAUUUCCCCAUAGCCGCGUUGAACAUCUGGUGUCAAGUAGGUCAGACCAUUGUCCGAUCCUCAUCAGCUUAUACGAGGAGUUCUGGGAGAGGGAUGAGCAGCUCCCCAAGAUGAUCGAUGAGGCUUGGCAUGAUGGGCCGCAGGCUACAGACUUGGGUCAGAUAUCUGACAAGCUUCAUUCUGUCAUGGGCUCGUUACAUGGAUGGAGCAAGAAAAAGUUUGGUAAAGUCGGAAAGAGGAUUAGUAAGUUAAAGAAGAAACUGGCUGUGAUUAUGGGUUUGUGGGACGACAAUUCUGUCCGUGAGCAGGGGGCCAUAAGAAGAGAGAUAGAUGAACUGCUAGAAAUGGAGGAAAUCAUAUGGAACCAAAGGUCGAGGAUCGGCUGGAUAAAAUGGGGCGACCGGAAGACGAGUUUUUUCCACCGGAAAGCUCCUUGGCGGUCUAAGAAGUAUAAAAUCUCCGUGAUUCAAAAAGAUGAUGGAACCGAAACCAGUCAGAUUGAGGAAAUGCACAAACCACCGAUUUCUUCAAGGAGCUCUGUACGGCGGAUCCUAGAGUUGAUCCGGCAAGGGUGCUGGAUGCGAUGUCUGACAGAGUUGAUGAGGCUAUGAAUGUGCAGUUGUGCAAGGAGUUUUUAGACGAAGAAAUCAGUGAAGCGCUGUUUCAGAUUGGGCUGGGGAAAGUUCCUAGCCCAGAUGGAUUCCCGGCCCGCUUCUUCCAGUGUAACUGGCUCACUCUAAAAGGUGAGAUUAUUCAGGCGGUGAAACGGUUCUUCUCAGAUGGCAAGAUGCCGGAUGGCGUGAACAGCACGUCCAUCGUCCUGAUACCCAAAGUAAAAGAGCCGAAGCGACUAAAGGAUUUUAGACCGGUAAGUUUAUGCAACGUGAUCUACAAGGUGAUCGCAAAAUGCAUGGUCAAUAGAUUCAGACCUUUGCUGCAGGACCUGAUCUCUCCAACUCAGAGCGCAUUUAUACAUGGGAGAAUAAUUACGGAUAACGCUUUAAUCGCGUUUGAGUGCAUUUUUGCGCUUUAGAAAAGCAAGGACGUGAAGGGAAAUUUUUGCGCGUAUAAGCUUGACCUAACCAAGGCCUAUGAUCGUGUGGAUUGGAGAUGCUUGCGGGGUGCUGGGGUUCUGCGCACAGUGGAUAGACUGGACAAUGGAGUGUGUUACUUCAGUGGUGUAUUCGAUGCGCUUCAAUGGGGAACUCUUGGAACAAUUUCGACCCACCCGUGGCUUGAGACAGGGGGACCCUCUCUCCCCGUAUCUGUUCCUUAUAGUCGCUAAAGGACUUAGCGCCUGUAUACAGAAGAGAAUUGAGGAUGAUUCCCUUCACGAGCUGAAGCUGACUAGACGUGGCCCGGGCAUUUCCCAUCUCCUCUUUGCUGAUGACAGUCUGCUCUUCUUCGAGGCCACAACUGGACAUGCGCAGAUCCUUAAGGAGAUACUGAAUACGUAUGAAACAUGCACGGGCCAACUCCUUACCCCCAGAAAUGCUCCUUACUGUUGGGGAAUUCGUGUGCCCCCAAGGAUGGGACACAGGUUGCUGCAAUUUUGGGGGUGACUAUGGUUGAUUUUGAUGAAAAGUACCUUGGUUUGCCCGUUCCGGAGGGGCGUAUGAAAGAUGGAAAAUUUCAAUCCACCAAAGACAAGGUUUCAAAGAGAUUAAAUGAUUGGUCUGGAAAAUACGUCUCAAGUGCCGGUAAAGAGGCACUGAUAAAGGCGGUGAUCCAAGCUAUCCCGACUUACAGCAUGAGCAUCUUUAAGUUCUCAGCUAACCUGUGUGAGGAGUUGGAACAAAUGACAAGGAAUUUCUGGUGGGGCGACGAAGAAAACCGGAAGAAAGUUCAUUGGCUAGCGUGGGAGAAACUCCUGAAGAAAAAAAAUCGUGGAGGCAUGGGAUUCCGUGAUCUGAGGGUCUUUAACCAGGCAUUGCUUGCAAAGCAAGCUUGGAGACUCAUUGAACACCCGAACAGCCUCUGUGCUAGGCUGUUGAAGGCUAAAUAUGAGAAGGCUAAAACACAGACACCAGCUACCGUCCAUGACAAGUUGGCCGCCUACUAAUGAGGACAGACACCAGCUGUCAAUAAUUCUAUCGUAGUUAGCCGCCUCCAUCGGAGGGCAGACACUAACCGCUAGUCUAUCGCAGUCAGCCGCCUACUACUGAGGACAGACGCCACUGCUCCCGGGGAGGUAAGACAUUAAGAUGGCAUUACUUCAGCUAAGCCCCGCCAAUACAGGGUCAUGUGGUCAACGCGGUCGCUACGGCGCUUGAGCACAAGUAGGGCAAUUGUUGAUUAAACCUUAUAGUGAUAUCCUUUUGUAGCCGAACCCACCUUCCAGUGGCAUGAAAGCCAGGCUUGAUAGCCUCCAAACAGGGUCCGAGCUACCAGCCAUAAUAGUUCAUCGACUGCUCCAUCAGCCGACUAACACAUCCAGGUCAUAUUAUUUAUAAGAUAACUUUUCUUUUGAUGCAAGUGCUAUCAAUAGAAUAUACUGCAAAGCUUUGAUAAAACAUAGUCAUCAGAUAUGAACAAGAACUGGACUUGCCUGAGAUACCUGGAAGAUCAUGUAGCAAUCAAUGAAGAACAAUGUUUAACACCAAGAAUUCCAAAGUAGAGUCAAACUGAAAAAAAUGAAUGAAAUCCAGAUAAGGAACACACCAAGGAUCAUAUAAAAGCACGAUUGAGAUGCAUGAGCCACAACCUGCUGUGCUGGUACAGAAGUACAGACAACUAGCUUAUUUCAUGUUUCAAUAAUUGUUCUAUCCUAUGAUAGCAGGCAGCGUUUGAAGGACAAGAGAUGAGGGCUAACCUUCUAUUCUCUUACACCUCUAGGGUUCCCUCAGUGGAUAUAUAUAUAUAGUAGUACAGAGAAAGGUAUAUGGGCCACAUGGGCCAACUACACAGCCCACUCACUGUCCAGCAACAACUAUUCAACACUCCCCGUCAAGAUGGAUGAUGGGAUGAUAGAUGUCUAUCAUUCACAUCUUGUCACAUGCCAACUUGCAUUCCUUAGCUUCCAACCCCUUUGUUAAGUAGUCUGCAAUCUGUCGUCCAGUACUUACAUAUCCAAUCUGAAUAAUUCCUGCAUCCAAUUUUUCUUUGAUGAAAAAUCUGUCAAUCUCCACAUGUUUGGUUCGGCCGUGCUGAACUGGAUUAUUUGCUAUGCAUAUGGCUGACUUAUUAUCACACUAGACAUUUAGACAGCCUUCCCUUAGUACCUUUAACUCUCCUAAAAAAUGCCUUACCCAUAACAUGUCACUCAGACCUUGUGACAUAGCUCGGUACUCUGCCUUUGCUGUAGAUUUUGAUACAACAGACUAUUUCUUGCUUCUCCAUGACACAAGAUUUCCUCCCACAAAUACACAAUACCCAGAAGUUGACCUCCUAUCAUCAAGACAGCUUCCCCAAUCUGCGUCGCUGUAUCCAUCAAUCUCAAGAUGACCAUUGCUCCUAAACCACAAUCCCUUUCCUGGGCUUCCUUUUAGAUAUCUCAAAAUUCUAUACACAGCAUCCAAAUGACCCGUUCUAGGCUCCUGCAUAUACUACCUGCUGACAAUGCUUACUGCGUAUGCAAUAUCAGGUCUAGUAUGGCAAAGAUACAUAAGUUUUCCCACCAACUUCUGAUAUCUUUCUUUGUCAACCAGUUCACCAGUCUCCGCGGUUAUCUUAUUAUUCUGAUCUAUGGGGGUUGCAGCUGCAUGACAUUGUGUCAUUCCUGUUUCAUCUAGGAGAUCCAGAAUAUACUUACGUUGAGACAACAGAAUUCCCUUCCUCGAUCGAGCUAUCUCAAUGCCAAGAAAGUACUUUAGCUGUCCAAGAUCUUUUACUUCAAAGGCAUUUCUCAAACAUUUUUUCAACUCUACUAUUUCUGCCUCAUCAUCACCUGUAAUUAUAAUAUCAGCCACAUAAACCGCCAAGAUGGUGAUCUUCUUCUUUGAAUGCUUAUAGAACACAGUGUGGUCUCCAUUACACUGUCUAUACCCUAUGUCACAAACGGCACGUCUGAAUCUAUCAAACCAAGCUCUAGGAGAUUGUUUCAGUCCAUAAAGAGAUUUCUUCAGUCUACAUACUUUUCCUUAAUUUCCAGCUGCAGCCAUUCCUGGUGGUACCUCCAUGUAUACCUCCUCCUGAAAAUCUCCAUGCAGAAAAGCAUUCUUCACAUCCAACUGAUGGAGAGGCCAUCCAAAGUUUGCUGCACAAGAUAUCAAGAUUCUAACAGUGCUCAUCUUUGCCACGUGAGCAAACGUCUCAUCAUAGUCAAUUCCAUAUGUCUGACUAUAUCCCCUUGCAACCAAUCGUGCCUUAUAUCUCUCUGUCUUUCCUUCUGGACUUUGUUUGACUGUAAAAACCCACUUGCACCCAACAGCUUUCUUCCCUGUUGGAAGUUCAGUCAUCUCCCAAGUUUGAUUCUUCUUCACUGCUUCCAAUUCUUCUCUCAUGGCCUCACACCAUUUUGGGUCUUGUUUUGCUAUCUUCCAAUUAGUUGGUACAGAAACACUUUGAAGUGAUGCUAUAAAUGCGUUGUAUGAGGAUGAGAGUCCAUCAUAUGACAAAUAGUUAGCUAUGUUAUGUUCAAAGCCAUAUCUGUUCACAAGUUUUGAUGCAGCCGCUCCUCUCCCUUUCUUCAAAGCAAUUGGCCAGUCUAUAGAUUCUUUGCUAGCAUCAGAUUGCACAUCCAAAGCAUCUGACGUGCUAUCUCCAGAUGAAUGUUCCUCAUGCACAUGUGGCUCCCCUUGCACCUGAAUAUCAUUCUCCCCCUGUUCAGCUUGCUCCCCUUGUGCCUCAUUUACAUCUAUUUUCCUCCUCUGUGAGUAAACCCGUAAUGGCCUCUCACCCUCUUGAUCCCUUUGUUGCUGAGCAAUCAUGCGAUGUUCAGAUUCUAAAGCCGGUGGAAGGAACAGAAAUAGGGAUCGAACCAAUUAAUACAAGUUGAGGUUGAGCUUGAGCUUGAACACGAGGUUGAGCUUGAGCUUGAGCACCUGAUUGACUCAAUUCUCCCCCUCUUGAGCAUCAGGCAAACACAAUUGAUGAUCAAGACCUUCAAAUAGCACACUCAAAUCUGUUGGUUCCCCAUAGAAAGGCUCGGCUUCACGAAAGGUAACAUCCAUGCUGACAAAAGUCCUUCUCUUGGCUGGAUUCCAACACUUAUACCCUUGCUGCCCAGACGGAUAGCCUAUAAAAUGCACUUUACUGCUCUUGGGUCAAGCUUAUUCACUGAAGGGCGGUGAUCCCGGACGAAGCAAGUGCAGCCAAACACCUUGGGAGCAACAGGAAACUUGUUUUCACCAAACAAGAGCUCACAUGGGGAUUUCAUAUUCAGAAUUCAAGAUGGCGUUCGAUUAAUAAGGAAAGUAGCAGUUAGAACAGCUUCUCCCCACAAAAUUUUUGGAACAUUCAUCGUAUACAUGAGAGAGCAAGUUACCUCUAAAUGUGACGAUUUUUCCUUUCAGUCACACCAUUUUGAGGAGUAUCAGGGCAGGAGGUCUGAUGCAUAAUGCCCUUUUCUGACAGGAAUGUUCCAAACCUCUUGUUCACAUAUUCAGGUCUCAUUAUCAGUUCUAAGCAUCUGUACCUGCACCUUGAAUCAAGUACUCACAUAUGCAUAAAAGUUUUGGAAGCAUUCAAACACUUCAUCCUUGUGACGCAAGAGAUAUAUCCAAGUCAUACGAGUAUAGCAAUCGAUGAAAGUCACAAAAUACUUCAUUCCGUUAAUGGACAGAACAAGACAUGUCCAAACAUCAGAAUGCACCAACAUAAAGGGAGUUAUACUCCUGAGUCAUCUGCUCACAUAAGAGGUUCUAGUGUGUUUUGCAUACUCGCACGCAUCACACGUUAGUUUACUCAAAUCUACCUUACUCGUUACAACAGGAUAAACUUUGUUCAUUUUAUCAAAAGAAACAUGUCCCAUUCGACAAUGGUGAAUCAUUGCCAUUGUCUCCUUAUCACCCUGGACCACUGCAAGUAUCAAUGAUGAUUCUUGCCCUCCAUUCUUCUCUCGGUCCAGGUACCAUAGCCCCCUGCAUCUGAUUCCUUCCCCAAUCUUCCUGCCAGUUUCCCCCUCCUGAAUCAAACAUCCUUUCUUGUUAAGAGUGAAAGAACAAUCAAUCUGAUCGAUAAGACUGCUCAGGGAUAUUAAGUUAACUGGGAAAGCAGAUACAUGUAAAACAAUAGCUAGUUCUAUGCCUGGAGAACAUUUCACAAUUCCAACACCUUUUACUGGUUGAGCAGGUCCAUCCGCACUAUGCAUGGUUUGUUGACAAUUAAGAGAAUACUGGUUAUAUGUUUCAAAUUCUCUAAUGUUACCAGUAACAUGCUUAGAGGCACCUGAAUCCAAAACCCACUAAGAUGAUGGUGAGUGGUGAGAGAGACAUUUUCAGAAUUAACUUCAUUGGUGUAGACAAAAUGGGCAAACUGACCGAAGGAACUCUCCCCCUGCUUCUCAUUUGUCUUUGCUUCGCCCUGAGAUGCAUUUGAUUGUCCUCCCUGGUUUUCAACAAUCAUGUUUGCUCUAUUUCCCCCUUGUGAAAAAUUCUGAUUCUGGUUGUAAUUCUGAUUGUAUCUUCCCCUUGUUCGGCCUCUAACACCUCUGUAACCACCUCUACCUGGUCUGCCUCCUCUAUAACCUCCCCUGACUUGACGUGGUGGAGCAGGACAUUGCCAACUAAGAUGCCCUUGCAGCCCACAAUUGUAACGGUCUCUAGUUUCGGGUUUCUCAGACACAAAGUGUGUGGGUCUAGGGGCAGAUUCUCCUUUUCCAGUGCUCUUCAACCUUGUUUCCUCUUGAGCAAUGGCUGCAAUAGCUCCCUCAAGUGAUGGUAACUGUGCAUGAUUCUGCAUCAAGGAUGCUCUUCUAUUUUCAAAUUCUGAAUUUAAUCCUUUCAAAAAUUUCAGAACUCACUUGCCUUCAAUCCACUUCUUUGCUGCCGCCACAAAUCAAGAUCAGCCCACAGUUGCUUCAACUCUCCCACAUAAGUCAUCACCAUCCUCUCGCCCUGAGUUAGGUCAUGAACCCUAUCCUCAAGCUGAGAAACAAGCAUCACGUUUCCUUUGCCUGAGCACAUCUGGGACAGAGCAUCCCACACCUCACGAGCACUUGUAAGAUCUUCAACUGAUGCAGCCACAGAUGGGGUUAAAGAAUUCAGGAGCCACGCAAGAAUACCCGAAUCUGUAGUGCUCCACUUCUUCCAUUCACCCCCUUUCUUGUCUUCAGGUUCACUAACAUCGCCCAGAACAUAUCCCUCCAAGGUCUUCAUCUUCAAAAGAAGCAAUCCUCUCCUUGACCAGCUCAGUAGUUGUUUACCCCUUCCAACUUCACUUCAUUUGGUGUGGCAACUCAAGUUUCUGCACCCCUUCUGUCUGUGCAGAACUAGCUCCCAAAACAGAUGGAAGUGUUCCAUCUGCUGUCUUGGCCAGAGCCACCGCUACAGCAGCAGCAGCAGUUUCCGCACUCUUGGUAGUUAUCAGUUCUGCCAGUGUCUCCAGCGCCCUUGCCAGGUCUUCCGCCAUGCCUCACUCUCACCACAGCUCUCCCCUUGGACUCCUAGAAGCAAGACGCCCGGAUCUGCCACCCCUUGCAACAGGACGCCUGGAUCUGCCAUCCCUUGCAGCAGAUCUAGUCACUCCAUGGCGGUAAUCUUCACCAGCAGCACCACCACCUCUGUCUCCACAAGCUCUGAUACCAUGAAGUACAAGAGAUGGGGGCUAACCUUCUAUUCUCUCACACCUCUAGGGUUCCCUUAGUGGCAUAUAUAUAUAUAGUAGUACAGGGAAAGGUAUAUGAGCCACAUGGGCCAACUACACAGCCCACUAACUGUCCAGCAACAACUAUUCAACAUCAUUUCACGUAAUACCAGAGACAUGCAAGCGUUCUACAUAAACUUCUGCAAGCAAACUUUAUACAAACAGAAUUCUUAGGCUUCAGCUCUCGUGUGCUAUACGGUGGUCUUGCUCUAAUCUUAUUGUGACUGGUUAGCCUGUUAAGUAUGCUAAUUGUUCACCUAAGUGCUAAAUUCUAAGAACUUGAUGGUAACUCUAAAAUUAAUACCUCUGGACACCUAAUGAGCAAUUAUGUGGAGCUUUACUAAUUAUCAAACGAUGGUUCAGUUGGUACAGCUGUGCAUCUGACUCCAGUUGUGAUCUCGAAGCUAAUAAUUUCAUGGCCUGGUUAUUACUUUCCCUACUGGCAUUGAUCCGAGAACCUGAUUCAAUUUAUGUGGUUCACCAUAGCUCUACAAUGUUCUAAACGACUGAGCAGUGAUCUGAAUAUUAGGUACCUAUGUAUAAUUAACCUGAGCUUUGGUUUUUUUCCUCGAAAUUCAUUAUGUGAUACUAGGUACCGCACUACCCUCAUCCUUUAGCUCCUCGAUCCUGAAGUGGCGUAUGGUUUCUUUAGAGUGGCGAAGGCAGGACAAGUUUUACUUGUGUACUACUUCCUGUAGAUAAUGUUUCCUAAGGAAUUAAACUGAAAUUGGCUUCCUGAAGUCUAACUCUUUUGCUCCACGACCUGAAUUUCCAGUACAGAAGAAUAGGCUCUUGCUUCUCUGAAAAUUAAUGGCCGAGUGUAAUCUAACUUACGGUACUGCAGUGUAAUCUAAAGAAAUGGUCUGAUCCUAAAGAUAACAUGACUAUAUUCAUUUCUUACCUCUAUAGUUUAUCUACACAAGCAUGCAAGCAAAGUCAUCGCAUCCAGAGCAACUAUAGCAGUUCUAAGCUACUAUUAUGCAUUAUACGGAUCUUAAUUAAUUUUCUUCCCUCUAUAUAGUGCUAAACAGAAACCUGCUAUUGCUCUAAUAUCUCUGUUGAUUAUUAAGGCAUAAAUCUGAACUGAAUGCAGGUGUGCAGGGUGUAUAAUUGUACAUAGGUUUCGUCUGAAAUCUUAUAGGAACAGAAUCAUGGUUGCCCAUUAAACGUAGGGUGAUCUUAAAUCUUCUCCCAACCUAGUCCUAUCAUUGUUACCCAAAUAUCGGAUCAGCACACAAGCAAGCAAGCAAACAAGAAAUAAAUUCUAACUCAGAUUCUUGAUGCUCCCAAGUAUAAGGCCUCACCUGCUUGGUAGAUGAUUGGGGGAUUCCCUAAUCUGGCUGCGAUUUGGUCGCCUAAUCCCCAUGGAAUUUCUCCUCUCUCUAACUCCCCCUUCCGCCAUGCCCCUUGCAUGGGCGCUGCCGCCUCGACCCGCCGCUUGGAACAGCACCGGUGGAAUCCUCUCUUCCACCCUCACACUUUCUCCCAACAGCGCCACCUCCUUCCUAACUUUCUUGCUUCCUCUCUUCGUCCUAAUGUUUCGGCUUCCCAGAGACAGCCAUGGCUCAGAGCUUCGUGGUAUGGAGAAUUGCUAUGGUGGCGAGAAAUAGAGGCUCAUGGUCUCCUACUAUUCCCUUCCCCUUGUCGUCUUAGGUGCGUGAUGUUUCUAGGUCACUUCCAUGGAGAAGAGUUCAGUCUUGCUGUGGAGAAUGGCUACAGCAGCAAGAUGGAUAGGUUUGCGGUCUCUUAAAGGUCUAACCGUUUACAUUUUUUUUCCUUCUUCAGUCGAUUUCCCUUGCUCUUAUCUGAUUUUUACGAAGGCCACCGCGUGUCCUAGCUAUGCUACGUGUCUCUCCCUGAAAUGGCUGAAUAGCCAUCAGCCUGACUUGUUGUGCCAGCUCCUGCUU